UUUUAUGGAGAGUUUGAUCCUGGCUCAGGAUGAACGCUGGCGGCGUGCCUAAUACAUGCAAGUCGAGCGAACAGACGAGGAGCUUGCUCCUUUGACGUUAGCGGCGGACGGGUGAGUAACACGUA
Molecule: ribosomal RNA, 125 nt
Filed under: Staphylococcus hominis
Lineage: Bacteria; Bacillati; Bacillota; Bacilli; Caryophanales; Staphylococcaceae
Description: partial 16S ribosomal RNA
Rfam family: Bacterial small subunit ribosomal RNA
Source: RNAcentral